UACUGGUGGCAGCAGCAGUAAUUAAAUCUUAUCAGCAUACUACACAAAAAGAAUUACACAUUUAGUCAUAGACAGCAUAUAAAUCUAACUCUUCCUCCUCUUGCUGAAAGGCAAAAUACUAGGACACAUAGGUUCUUCCAUUCAAUCUUUUUUCACCAAGAACAUUUAUUAAACUCUUGAUCAUUCCAAUUUGAAGGACCAUACUUUCAUGCAAUUUGUGGGUUUAACAAGCUAUCAAUCUUUUAUGAUAAAGGGUCUAGUCCUUGUAUUCUGCAUUAACAAUCAGAAUAUUGUUGCAGGAAAGAAAAAAUCCCUAUUUGAUAGAACUUCUACCUAUAUACCCAUCGGAACCAUCAACGACGCAUUCACAUUCCUAAAUAACGAUACACGACAUGGAUUUUUUUAGUUUUGUAUGUUUAUCAUAUAUAUGCAAAAAGUUAUAAUAAGUAAUCAGAGGUAAAAAAAAAAAAAGGCUAAAGUACAUUCUUAAUAGCAUAAAAGAAAGAGAUAGUGAAUUUGGAAUAACUAAGAAAAGUAGGAAAGAUAAAAGAAAAAUGGGUAGGACCCUAAGUAUACCUUUUCGGGAUAGGACUUGAACCAUCAUGAUUUUCUAUAAGUUUUAUCAUUGUCAGUAUUGACAACUAGAAUGAGACUAUCUUUAUUCUUGUCAACCAACUCAGUUCUUCAGAAUAUGGAGUCAACGAUUUGGUCUAUGGAAUAUUUGGUUUGACUGUAUUAAGAAUUAUUAUCCCCCUUAUCUUACAAUAAUCUAUAAGAGAUUUAAAUGCAGCACUGUGCACUUCAAGCAACAAAAUCUCUGAUGCAUUAACAUCAAAUAGUAGCAAAAUGCACCUCUCUACAUUUUUGCUCCGAUCAAAAGUGUAGUUAACUUUGAACUGCAAUAACAAGGAACAAGCCCUUAUGUUUCCAUUUUGAGGAUACCGACCUACUCCAUUUACCAUCUUAAUUUGCACCAUCCAUUUGACUAAUGGAUGCAUAUUCGUGUAAUUUGAAAUCUAUUUAUGGUAUUCAUUUUCCCAUAUCAACACAUCUUUCGUAACUUCAAAUUGUUACAAAAAGACUUGAAAGACCAAAAACUAAUUUCGUAUGAGUUAACAUAAAUUGUGAAACAAGAACCAAGCAUAAGAUUUUUAAGUCGCAUGUGUACUAAUUCAACCAUAAAAUGGACGGUCUGGUUAAAAAGAAAAAAAGCAAAUGGAAAGGGUUAAAUCCCCAUUUCAGACAGAAUUACAUCCUAGGAUAAUUAGAUGUGAAACAUAUGUCAAAAUAACAUAUAUAUAAAACUAAAGAAGUAUAAAAAUUAGAGAUCAAUCCUUCAAUGGACAAUUAAAGGUUAAGAACAUUGACUAUGACCAAAAAUCCAAUCAAACCCUCUAAACUGACGGAAAUUCUGGUGUCAUAUCUAAAAUAGUAUGCAAAAGAAGAUCGUGCUUCCAUCCAUAAUUAACUUUAUUUCAGAAAGUAUAUCAUUUGUUCAGCGAUUAACAAGACACAAACUGAUUUUAAAAUUAAAUAAGAACACAGACACUUACCUGCCCAGCACUUAAAAGCGUACAGGAUGACGGUGUAGUACUUCCAGAAUUUGCACCUUCACAAUCACAUUAAAAGGUUACAGAAGCCAAUUCUGUGUUUCUCUAUUCCUCUUUCUUUUUCUCGUAAAAAAGAUGUAAAUUAAACAUUUACCCUAGAUAAGGACCGUAUACUGGCUUAACCUAACAAUUAAAAAUCUUUCGAUUGUAAUAAAAAUCAACCAAGGCUACGAGAUUAAGCCAAACCCUAAGCCAAACCCUAACCAAGCACUAGCCUCAGUCAUGAUCAUAAGCAAUUCAAGUGAAUAGAAGAUUAGUUUUUGAGAACUGAAUACCUGAUAGUUGAGACGAUACGGAGCUUUCCUCAACUCUCACUGGCAUUCNNN
RNAcentral lists this long non-coding RNA (1936 nucleotides) under Carica papaya (papaya). RNAcentral's name for it is "long non-coding RNA (CPAP_LNC000272)". Lineage: Eukaryota; Viridiplantae; Streptophyta; Magnoliopsida; Brassicales; Caricaceae. The record is from RNAcentral.